AAAAAAGAAGAAAAAAUGAGCAAAACUGGCGAGCCAAAACGCUUCUUGUUUGCUUCAAGUCUCAUUUUAUUGAGCACUCAAGAGCUCACAUUUCGUGUACAAUUUUUUU
Molecule: non-coding RNA, 109 nt
Organism: Caenorhabditis elegans
Lineage: Eukaryota; Metazoa; Nematoda; Chromadorea; Rhabditida; Rhabditidae
Source: Ensembl